Molecule: long non-coding RNA, 297 nt
Organism: Cebus imitator (Panamanian white-faced capuchin)
Lineage: Eukaryota; Metazoa; Chordata; Mammalia; Primates; Cebidae
Exons: 3
Source: RefSeq, a predicted model, not a curated record
UUGGGAUGGAUAGAAACAUGGUAGAGUUUUGGAAGCCUUUAGACAUAAAUUAACUGUGAAAAGCAGGAUCUCAGUCUCAUGGGCAAAGGAAGCUGAAACACUGAAUUGCUGGCAGAGGGCUCAGGACCAAACAAUAUUCCUGGAAAAUACUUCUGAGUCCUUCCCUCUUCUCCACCUGGCCUCCAGGGCAGACAGAAUUCUCUCCUUCUUCUCUAAAUAAAGCCAGUCAUGUGCAAGAAACUAGGAAGAAAACUAUGAGAAAUAUAGAUCUCACCCUACCCAUGAGGAGUCUGCAGU